ACUCCUACGGGAGGCAGCAGUGGGGAAUAUUGCACAAUGGGCGAAAGCCUGAUGCAGCAACGCCGCGUGAGGGACGACGGCCUUCGGGUUGUAAACCUCUUUUGGCAGGGAAGAAGCGAAAGUGACGGUACCUGCAGAAAAAGCACCGGCUAACUACGUGCCAGCAGCCGCGGUAAUACGUAGGGUGCAAGCGUUGUCCGGAAUUAUUGGGCGUAAAGAGCUCGUAGGCGGUUUGUCGCGUCUGCUGUGAAAACGCGAGGCUCAACCUCGCGCCUGCAGUGGGUACGGGCAGACUAGAGUGUGGUAGGGGAGAUUGGAAUUCCUGGUGUAGCGGUGGAAUGCGCAGAUAUCAGGAGGAACACCGAUGGCGAAGGCAGAUCUCUGGGCCAUUACUGACGCUGAGGAGCGAAAGCGUGGGGAGCGAACAGGAUUAGAUACCCUGGUAGUCCACGCCGUAAACGUUGGGAACUAGAUGUGGGGUCCAUUCCACGGAUUCCGUGUCGCAGCUAACGCAUUAAGUUCCCCGCCUGGGGAGUACGGCCGCAAGGCUAAAACUCAAAGGAAUUGACGGGGGCCCGCACAAGCGGCGGAGCAUGCGGAUUAAUUCGAUGCAACGCGAAGAACCUUACCAAGGCUUGACAUAUACCUGCAAAGGCUGGAAACAGUCUCCUCGCAAGACAGGUAUACAGGUGGUGCAUGGUUGUCGUCAGCUCGUGUCGUGAGAUGUUGGGUUAAGUCCCGCAACGAGCGCAACCCUCGUUCUAUGUUGCCAGCGCGUCAUGGCGGGAACUCAUAGGAAACUGCCGGGGUCAACUCGGA
Molecule: ribosomal RNA, 819 nt
Filed under: uncultured Actinomycetes bacterium
Lineage: Bacteria; Bacillati; Actinomycetota; Actinomycetes
Description: bacterial SSU rRNA
Rfam family: Bacterial small subunit ribosomal RNA
Source: RNAcentral